This 278-nucleotide long non-coding RNA is filed under the name Sus scrofa (pig). RNAcentral describes it as "lncRNA (ENSSSCG00005017510.1)". Lineage: Eukaryota; Metazoa; Chordata; Mammalia; Artiodactyla; Suidae. The record is from RNAcentral.
GCGGGGUGUAUGAGCUCUUUUAAAGGAGAACACUGUGGUUUUCAUGUUCUGAGCAUUCUGAGAUUGUGAAGGCAUAAUUCCUUUGAUUUGCUUACAGCCAAGUGGAGUUGCACAGGUCAUGGUGGCAGUAUAGCCACUUAAGUAUUCUAAAGGAGAUUUAUCAGCAGGUUGCAGGUGAACAUGGCGUUGAGGUUUUUCCAUCUCUUGGUGGUAAGUCUUUUGCUAUAGUUUGAGUAAGCCCUGCCAUUCCUCACAUGGAGAGCAAUGAGAGGCCGAAG